This 497-nucleotide ribosomal RNA is filed under the name uncultured bacterium. RNAcentral's name for it is "partial 16S ribosomal RNA". It matches the Rfam family "Bacterial small subunit ribosomal RNA", at positions 28 to 507 of the family's 1533-position model. The record is from RNAcentral.
GAUGAACGCUGGCGGCGUGCCUAAUACAUGCAAGUAGAACGCUGAAGGAAGGAGCUUGCUCUUUCCGGAUGAGUUGCGAACGGGUGAGUAACGCGUAGGUAACCUGCCUGGUAGCGGGGGAUAACUAUUGGAAACGAUAGCUAAUACCGCAUAACAGUAGAUGUUGCAUGAUAUCUACUUAAAAGGUGCAAUUGCACCACUACCAGAUGGACCUGCGUUGUAUUAGCUAGUUGGUGAGGUAACGGCUCACCAAGGCGACGAGACAUAGCCGACCUGAGGGGGGGAGCGGCCACACUGGGACUGAGACACGGCCCAGACUCCUAGGGGAGGCAGCAGGAGGGAAUCUUCGGCAAGGGACGGAAGUCUGACCGAGCAACGCCGCGGGAGUGAAGAAGGGUGUCGGAUCGGAAAGCUCGGUUGUAAGAGAAGAACGAGUGUGAGAGUGGAAAGUUCACACUGUGACGGUAGCUUACCAGAAAGGGACGGCUAACUACGUG